Molecule: long non-coding RNA, 162 nt
Organism: Psammomys obesus (fat sand rat)
Lineage: Eukaryota; Metazoa; Chordata; Mammalia; Rodentia; Muridae
Exons: 3
Source: RefSeq, a predicted model, not a curated record
GGCUGACGCUCCGCUCGGCAAGAUGGCGGCCGACAGCGAGCCCGAGUCCGAGGUGUUUGAGAUCACAGACUUCACCACGGCCUCGGAGUGGGAAAGGGAAAAGACAGGAAAUAGCCUUUGUGAGGUGCACUUGCCUAGAAUCGUGGCUACUGGCAAGGCUGA